GAAAAUCGUUUCAGCUUAUAUCUUUGUGAAGCUUAUUGUAAGUAAUCAUAAUUUUUUAUUUGAAUAAAAACAUUAAUUUACUCACUUUUAUCUAUUAUAAAAAUAUAGAAAAUGUUAUCAAUGCUUUCGUUUCAUGUUACCUUGCAUUAAAUUGCUUUAUGUUUUAAAAUUUUAUAUUCUAGAGGCAUAGUAACAUUUGCAAUUACAAUACAAAUUGAGUUACGGAGAGACUCAAAAUAGUGAUCCUUAUUUCAAAUACUUGUAUUGUAAACUGUCUUUUUUUUUGUGAUUUUACUUUUUAAACACUUUGUGAAACGUGCGUCUGGCGCAUAUACAAAAUUUCAAUCUUGGGUAUAUAUGAUAAGUUUAUUUACAACUGCUGGGUUGAUGCCACUGCUGGUUGAGUUUUUAUUCUCCGAGGGUAUCACCAGCCUAGUAGUCAUCACUUCUGUGUUGAUAUGAAUUAUCAUUGAUAUAGUCUGUUUACAAAACACGGAAGAAAACAACAAUCCUCAAACUUAAAUAUAAAGCUGACUAAAACGUUAUCAGAUAUCAAAAAUUUAAUAAAUAUAAAACAAUAGAUCAAAUAUAAACUGAUAAAAUUGUUUUUCAAGAACUUCAGGAAGAAAAAUUAAGAGAAUUGUACAUCAACUGCUACGCUUUCUCCACUGUUAUAAUCAAAUGUCGAAAUUAUGGGGAAAUGUUUAUAAAUAUACACAUCAUAGAUACAACACUUGAAAUUUGUAUAUGCGUCAGGCGUGCGUUCGUCUACAAAAGUGGCAUGUUUCCCCUUUAACACAUGGUGUAUUGUUGAAUUUAUUGAUAUUUGAUAAUUAUACACUUGAAUGGAAGUUCAUAUCUGACUCUUACACUACCGAUCAGAUCUUUUCACAACAAUAUCAAAACAAAGAAUAAAAUGGAUGUAAAGAUUUAACGACAAUAAGUUAAAAUUUACACUUUCUCUGAAAUGGUCGAAACAAUCCGGUCUCUUAUGGCCGACAUCCAUAUGAUUUCUCUUUCCGUUUGACUUAAACUUCAAGAGAUAAGCCAUUUCUCGUUUUAAGUGCAUAGGGAAGAAAAUCAAGUAAUCUUCAAAAAAACGAUGACACUAACUAUAUUUUUAAUCAAUAUAGAGCGCAUGGCAAAACGUCAUAGUCCCCUCUCAUACAUAGAUAUCAGAAGAUGUUGUAUGAGUGUCAAUGAGACAACACUCAAUCAAAGUCACAAUUUAUAAAAGUAAACAAUUAUAGAGCAAAGUGACACACUGUACAGCAAUCUAUAAAGGACCACAACAAUGACAAAUGUCAAACCAUUCAAACAGGAAAACGAAGUCUCUAAUCUAUAUAAAACACAAGAAUCGAACAAAAAUUUAUUUAUCACAUUAUCAAACGACAAGCCCGUACAACAGGUUAAAAGCAUACUUUACUUGUUAUAGGGUCGAUCUUAUGAUAAUGUUAUAAUUAUAAAUUAAAAGUUUUUUACAUUAACGUUUUCUUCGAAAUUACUUUAACUUUUUCUUCAAAAUUACAAUAACUUUUUCUUCGAAAUUACAUUAGUUUUUUCUUCGAAAUUUUAAGAAUUUUAAACCCCUGGUUUUGGUAAAACCAUAGGAAUUAUGGGUAUACAAUGCUCUUCCACUACGUACUUAUUUUCGCCGUUUAAACUAUUUUUUGUUUGAGCGUCACUGAUAAGUCCUAUUUAGACGAGACGCCCAUCUGCCAUACACAAUAUAAGGCCUGGAUAAUUUUAUUAGUUUAUACUUAUAUAUUUUCUAUAUGUUCCACAUUAUCAAGGACGGAUUACAUACUGGCUUCGACUAGCUGUAUUUCGAUUCACAUGAUAACUAUCCAUACAGGCUUGAAAUCUUCCAGUAACUGUCGUGCUUUGGGUUCAAUGCAAUGUUGGACAACUGUUGAUAUUAUAUUGAUAUUUAUUCUGAUGAUAAACUCGUGGAGCGUUGGUAAAAUAAAAUGCGUGAUAUAAGUUUUCUAAGGAAAUUAAAACUUUGCGUGUGACUUACCUGUAUUAUGCCUUAUAAAUAUCUUUUAAUUAUUUGAUCCUAAUUUUCAAACUUUUUAAAUUAAGUACUUUUAUCUGUUUAUAGGCAAAUAAAAAAUGGAGAGUUCCCUUGUCACCAUCCUAUGGUGUUUAUAUAGCUCAACUUUUACGAUUUGCUCGUGUAUGUAACAACGUAUUAUUUUAAGCGAAAGAAAUCUAUGAAUUACUGAAAAAUAUUACACUAGGGUUUUCGAUGUCACAAACUAGUCAAAUCAUUUAAUAAAUUUUAUCAACAUGCUAACAUCUUAUAUGUUCAGGUAUUUCACAUUCGAUCUUUUAUGUUAAUAAAUAAUAGCACUAAAAUGUCGGCAUUCACCUGAAAAGCUUACAAAACCUUUAAACAGACUUAUAAAGAAAGGAUAUAGUUACAAUACUGUUGUCAAGGCAUUUAAAGAUGACAUAUUAUGGCUUUAAAAUUGAUUCACUUAUAGAGUGUUUGCAUAGGAUAUAUCACAUAUAUCAUAAAACAAGUUGUAGACUGCUAGUAGUCUUUUGCUAAUUUAUGUAUCAUUGUCAUUUUGUUUAGUUUCUUUCGUUACCUUUUCUCACAUCCAUCAUACUGGACCUUUUUAACUGAGUUUUACUGUGCGUAUUGUUGUGUGUAUGUUUUCUAUAUUGGCUAGAUGUAUAGAGGAGGGUUAAGAUCUCAAAAACAUGCUUAACCCCGCCGCAUUAUUGUCUCAACUCAGGAGCCUCUGGCCCUUGUUAGUUUUGUAUGAUUUUCAAUGUUAGCUCAUUUAUAUAUAUUGAAGAGAUUAGUAUGAAGUCCAAUAUAACUGAACUAGCACACAAUUUUGUCUAUGGGCCAGCUGAAGCAAGCCUCCGUGUGCGGGAUUUUCCUGCUGUAUUGAAGGCCCAUUGGUGGCCGUUGGUUGUUUUCUGUCCUUAAGUUGGGUUUUUGUCUCUUUGACACAUUCCCCAUUUCCUAUCAAGUUCAGUAACUGAUCAAGCUUUAAACUACUCGUUAAAAUGGCAUACGGAUGGAACUCAAUUCAAAGCCCUUAUAAUUAAUGAUGACGAUUACUUCAGUUAAAAUCACAUAAGACGUAUGGAAACAUGUUAUGGAUUUCUAUUUAUGCAUCCCAUGUAUAUAAUUCUCUUCAGUUAAUUCAGACCAGAUAUUUACAAUAUAAAAGUAUAUUUAGAAAGCAAUUGUACUCACGAUUUGAGUCAGGUUGCUUGGAGGGAGAACACCAAACUAUUUAAGUGUUUUGGAACAGCUAAGAACUGUUUUCCUUUUUUAACUAAAAGAACUUCAAAUAGAUAUCAAUGACAAAAAAUAAAAAUUUAUGCAUGUAACUCAUAAAAAGGCAAAUCCCUGGUUUAUAGUUCACACUCACGAUAAUAACAAUUAAAAAAAGCGGAUCUAUAACAUUACUGUACUUUUAACAUGUUGUUUUUUCGUGUGACAAAAUAAACACAGAGCACAUAAGAAAUUGAAAGUUACUGAUACAACUAUAAACGACAUGUUUAAAAUACAUACGGAAGGUAAUCAAAAGUCAUUACAAUAUACUGGAAUUGUUAUCAAGCUAGGACAGUAUGGAAUCAUGUCAUUGUUUUCCUAUUCAUCCAAGAUUUGAUUUGGUCUUCAGAUAAUAAGGUUCAGAUCCUUAUGGCAGCGAUUAUAAUUAUUUCCGUCAGUCAUUGAUCAAACAUUAAGGGAGUUCGCUUCUCGGUUUCAAAGUAAUUAACUUUUCAAAACACUAGUUUAUAUUGAUAAUGGAUUAAUAAAGGAAUCCAAAGAGCAAAAAAAAAAAUAUAGGUCACCGUGCUCGUUUUCGAUAUAUUAGCCAUUGGAAUUUUGGCGCGAAAAUGUUCUCUCUUGACUUUCCAUAACUUUAUUAUUGACAAGUUAAAGUCCUCAAAAACUAUUAAAAAGUAAUUAAAAUUUUAAAAGACUUUAACAGACAGCUUAUCAUUAUACAUGUAAAAGAAUUAUCAAAAGAAAAAUUGGGGUCACCGGGCAAAAUAUGUUUAUGCAUUCAAAUGGAUAAAACCAGAGGAUUCCGAAAAUCUGAAAAAAAUUUCCAAACAUGAAAAGCCACCUUCCUUAAGGGAAGACAUGUAAAAUAUUUAAAUAUCAAACUUAUGUAUGAAGGCAAUUUAUUCUAAUUUGAUUAAGGUUCUUAGAAAGAGGAUUGUAAAGAACUUUAGUAUUUUGUAAAGCUAAGAAUUGUUCUCGUUGGACAACUAAAACACUGUUUGUGUCAUUUGAAAUGAUGUUUAAAUAUCAACAUGAAAUAUUUAUCAUGAUAUGAUUGUAAAUUUGGAAAGGCCAAGCACAAAUAGCAUGCAUAUAAUUUCUUUUUGAUUGUAGAUAAUUAAUAUCUAUCAAUUAAACACUGUAUUCAACAGCUAAAAUGUUACAACACAGGUUUUCUUAAAUCAAUAUGCAGUCAACUCCAGGUUGAAAAAACACAAUGUACGUACGUUUCCGGUAUAUAAACUCAUCAUAUAUACCAGGAUUAAUUUUUUUUAUAUGCGACAAACACGUGUUUCGUCUACAAAAGACUCAUCGGUGAAGCUCGAAUAAAAAAAGGUAAAAAUAAAAACCACAAAAAAUACGAAGUUAAAGAGCAUUGAGCACCUAAAAUUCCUAAACGUUUUGUCAAACACAGCUAAGGUAACAUAUUUCUGUGAUAGAAAAGCCUUAGUAUUACAAAAAUGCAAAGUUUUGUAAACAGUUAAUUUAUAAUAAUGACCAUAUUAAUGAUAAUUCAUGUCAACAAUUAAGUGCUGACUACUGGGCUGUUGAUGCAAGGUUGUAUUUAAAUAUAUCUAGUCAAUAUAAAAAAAGAAGAUGUGGUAUGAUUGCCAAUGAGACAACUGUCCACAAGAGACCAAAAUGACAAAGACAUUAAUAACUAAGGUCACCGUACGGCUUCAACAAUGAGAAAGCCCAUACCACAUAGUCAGCUAUAAAAGGCCCCCGAAGACAAUGUAACAAUUCAAACGAGUAAACUAACGGCCUAUUUAUACAAAAAAUGAACGAAAAACAAAUAUGUAACACAUACACAAACGACAAUUUACUACAUAUCAUACAAAAUAAACACCUUUAUAGACAUUUUGCAGGUGUAUAAUGGAGAAGAUUUACAUUAUCCUAUUUGUUGUUUCAUGCACCCUCUUUGCAUGCUUUGGAAGCACAAUGCAAUGGUGUGAUACCCAAUGUUCAUGCAGUGAUUCGAGUGUUGAUUGCGCACAAAGAAAUCUUAACGAAGUCCCAACUUAUGUGCCAUAUUCAACAACAACAUUGUGAGUAUUUCAAUCAAAUUGCUAAUUUACCUUUAGGUGAAUAAUUUGACCUCAUUGAAUCCGUAUUCUAUUGACGCUACCUUCAAUGUAACACCUUAGCUAAAAAUAAAUUACGCAUAAACUAAACAAAAGGAAAAUAAUGUCAAUAUAUUUAUAUGUUUCUGUUUGUCCUUCUUUGUUUGGAGUUCCUAAUGGUUCACAUAUAGUACAGACUCACGUUUCAAACAUCUUAUUUUGCAGGUACCUGGACGAAAAUAAAAUACAAAGACUGGAGGCCUAUCGUUUCAGAGGUUUGACGGCUCUUACACGAUUGUAAGUAUCAGGAUUGUUUUAAAAACUAAGGCUUUUCUUAUCCCAGGCAUAGAUUAUCUUAGCCGUAUUUUGGUCAACUUUUUGGAAUUUUGGAUCCUCAAUGCUCUUAAACUUUGUACUGUUUGGCUUUAUAACUAUUUCGAUAUGAGCGUCACCGAUGAGUCUUGUGUAGACGAAACGCGCGUCUGGCGUACUAAAUUAUAAUCCUGGUACCUUUGAUAACUAUUUGCAUCAACAUUAAUUCCCAUUUGUUUUGCUGUUUCCCGCCACAAUAGAUCACACUUCUACUUUUAUCCAUGUUAAACUAGUUGUUGUAUUAGAAAAGUUAUUUUCACCUAAGGAACUAUUUUGUUUUAAUUAUUCACUAUUUUUCACUAUCUAUGUUUUGACCGGUCCCGAUUAGGUUCUGUAAGACGUUAUACAGUUUUUGCAAAGAAUCUCACUCAAGCCUGUGCUAAGGACCGUCUAAAACUUGCAGUUAAGAAAGAGUUGUUAAGCUCCGUGUUGAAUGCCUCACUGUGACCUUGAGAUGAGGGACAGCAAUACAAAAUACGUAAUGAUAUAUUUCCAGGACCUUGAUAAUAAUCCAAAUACAUAAAUAGAUGACAAUUGUUGUCACAGUUUACACUGCAUCUUUAUAUAUUAUAUCGUAGCUUUGAGGUCCAACAGACAUGUGUCAUCUGAUGUACAUGUUGACCUCAUUUUCAGUGUAGAUUUGGUGUUGUGAUCUUAUUUUCGCAUGCUUUAUGCAAUAGAUCAACUGUAUUUGGUGUAUUGAAAUGUUUUAUGUUGCUUUUGUCAGUUUGGCAGGUUUCUUUUACUCUUGACCUCAUUUUUACAUUUAAUUGCUCAGUGUUAAGAUUUUAUGUGUUGGUCUAUUUUAGAACAGAAACAGAAUAGAAUUAUUAGCAACAGGUCAAUUACAAUGAACCCUGGUCUUAUGUGCAUGGUUCAUUGGUCAAUGUUAAAUUUUUCUGGUGAUGUUCGUUUCUAAGAAAUUAUUUGCAGUAGUUUAUAAUUGGUGUAUGGAAUGGUUUGACGAAGUACAUUCAUUUCUGCUUAGGUUAAUCUGACCUUGACCUCAUAUUCCUGAAUCAUUGAAUUAUUAUGUGAUACUUGUAGUAAAGAUCAAUAUAUAGGGCUAUCAACAUAAAAUUAACUAUCAGUAAAGCCGGCGAGACAUUUUAGAGUGUGAACCCUUGUUUAGCUGGCCUUGAGAAUAUUAUCUUCUUAUGUAAAUCAUUAAAAUCAUUAGAUUAACAUUUGCCAGAUGUAGAAUUUUAUUCAUAUGCCAGUAUUAACAUGAUGUAUAUGAACUAUUUUUUUUAAUUCAAAUCUGUUUAUAUCAUUUUCAGGGACCUUCAACACAAUUGCAUUUCAUCACUUGGCGC
This 7013-nucleotide long non-coding RNA is filed under the name Mytilus galloprovincialis (Mediterranean mussel). Lineage: Eukaryota; Metazoa; Mollusca; Bivalvia; Mytilida; Mytilidae. The record is from RNAcentral.